This 860-nucleotide ribosomal RNA is filed under the name uncultured bacterium. RNAcentral's name for it is "bacterial SSU rRNA". It matches the Rfam family "Bacterial small subunit ribosomal RNA", at positions 64 to 916 of the family's 1533-position model. The record is from RNAcentral.
GAAACGACAUCGAAAGCUUGCUUUUGAUGGGCGUCGACCGGCGCACGGGUGAGUAACGCGUAUCCAACCUGCCCACCACUUGGGGAUAACCUUGCGAAAGUAAGACUAAUACCCAAUGACGUCUCUAGAGGACAUCUGAAAGAGAUUAAAGAUUUAUCGGUGAUGGAUGGGGAUGCGUCUGAUUAGCUUGUUGGCGGGGUAACGGCCCACCAAGGCUACGAUCAGUAGGGGUUCUGAGAGGAAGGUCCCCCACAUUGGAACUGAGACACGGUCCAAACUCCUACGGGAGGCAGCAGUGAGGAAUAUUGGUCAAUGGACGAGAGUCUGAACCAGCCAAGUAGCGUGCAGGAUGACGGCCCUAUGGGUUGUAAACUGCUUUUAUAAGGGAAUAAAGUGAGUCUCGUGAGACUUUUUGCAUGUACCUUAUGAAUAAGGACCGGCUAAUUCCGUGCCAGCAGCCGCGGUAAUACGGAAGGUCCGGGCGUUAUCCGGAUUUAUUGGGUUUAAAGGGAGCGUAGGCCGGAGAUUAAGCGUGUUGUGAAAUGUAGAUGCUCAACAUCUGCACUGCAGCGCGAACUGGUUUCCUUAAGUACGCACAAAGUGGGCGGAAUUCGUGGUGUAGCGGUGAAAUGCUUAGAUAUCACGAAGAACUCCGAUUGCGAAGGCAGCUCACUGGAGCGCAACUGACGCUGAAGCUCGAAAGUGCGGGUAUCGAACAGGAUUAGAUACCCUGGUAGUCCACACUGUAAACGAUGAUUACUAGGUGUUGGAGGAUUGACCCCUUCAGUGCCGCAGUUAACACAAUAAGUAAUCCACCUGGGGAGUACGACCGCAAGGUUGAAACUCAAAGGAAUUGACGG